Long non-coding RNA from Hemicordylus capensis (graceful crag lizard), 4703 nucleotides. RefSeq lists it as uncharacterized. Lineage: Eukaryota; Metazoa; Chordata; Lepidosauria; Squamata; Cordylidae. The transcript has 2 exons. The record is from RefSeq and is a predicted model, not a curated record.
GACCAAUGGUCUGACUCAGUAUAUGGCAGCUUCCUAUCUUCCUAUGUACCGUUUGCUUUGCACGCAGGAGGUCCCGGGUUCAGUCUCCACGGUCUUGAGUGAGAAAGAGCUCUUUGGGUUCGCUGCUGGUCCAAGGUGAGACGAGGCUAAAUGGGCCCCUACUCUAACCCAGGGGUGGGCCAGCGUGGCCCUCCCACUUGUGUCUGGACUACAACUCCCAUCACCCCCUGCCACAAAAAUACACUGUGGGUGGGGAACAUGGGAGUUGUAGCCCAACAUCUGGAGGGCCAAGCUUGCCGCCCCCCCCCCCCAAAUUCUCUAACCCUAACCUAAGGCAGCUCUGGAUGUUCAUCAAUGCACAUGUCAGCACCAGGCUGCAUAGAAACGGAAGUGCUGCCCCUCAUGUGGGGAAAUGGGGCGGUGGGGGGGGGAGCCAGAUACGUCUGGGGCUAACAGGGAACUGGCUCCCCGGGACCCCUUCUUCCUGGCUUUGGCUAGUGCUGGGAGAUUGAUUCUGGGUCUCCCCCCUUCCUUGAGAGUAGACCAGUGCUGUUCAGCAGGGUGGAAGCCAAAGUGAGGGCAGGCAGAAAGUGGUAGCCUUGGGCCGCCUGGUCCGACAGGCUGGCUAAUAGAAGCACACCAGGUUCAUUCUGUGGUUGGGGCUGAGUCCUGGAGCACGUGAAGCAAAGAGUGUCUCCAAGUAGGGUGUAUAUAUAUUAAAAAAUCCAACAAUGUUAAGAAUGUCCCUGCUGGAUCAGACCAAAUCUCCACCUGGUCUGGUAUUCUGGUUGUCACAUUGGCCAGCCAGAUAACUCUGGGAAGCUUAGGAACAGGGUGUGAAGGCAACAGCCCUUGAGUUUAUCCUUAGCGUCUGCUGCUCGGAGGUAUACUGCACCUGGACACAGAGGCUCCAUUUAGCUACGAUGGCUACUGGCCAUUGAUAGACCUCCUCCUCCUCCAUUCCUUUCAAAGCUAUCCCCAUUUAAGAGCAGUGGCCAUCACCGCACCUUGUAGCAGAGAGUUCCGCAAGCUGCCGCUGUGUUGCAUACCCACACCCAAGGCUUGCUUUGCAGCAGAAAUGGUGCGUGAGGCGAUCCUGCUCUGCAGCCAGCUGCUGCUGGGCCAACCUUUUUGGGUUUGGGGGCUUGAAGUGAGAAAUCAGUUUCAUGGCAUGCUUUCCCCCACAACUGGUCUGUCACGCCAGCAAGCCGUGGGUCUCCUGCCAGCACCGGCCAUUGUUCCCCGCGAUACCUUUGCAGCCGCUGUUCUCCAAGGGGAGGGAUCUCAGCGGCCCGCCUGCCUCUCCGUAGCCAAGUUCUGCUGCUGGAUCCUGCAAAGGGCCAAUGGAGAGGGGUAGCGCUCUGGAGAGACAGACCCACUGCAUGUCCAGCCAUUCAGCCUGUCUUAUAUUUUUUAAUCUUUAUUUAUUAACAUAUUUUCAUGCCGCCCAAAACUUACGUCUCUGGGCGGUUUACGACAAAAUCCCCCAGUCUCAGGUUUUCUGGAGGAAUUCCGUACCUCCUUAAUUCCUCCGGUGUUUGCCUCAUCUCCUCACCCGCCCAGUGAGAAGGCUCUGAGGAUCUAUAUAACUUGGCGGCAGAGCUUCUGCUUUGCAUGCAAAAGGUCUCUGGCUCACCCCUGUGUGUCAGGUUUUUAAUAGCAUGGCUCGAAAAGACCCCAGCCCUGCAGCUGUGGAGAGCUGCUGUGAGCUCCUUGCCUGGCAACGCUCAAAAUAAUCUUUCUAGCUUCCCAGAUGCCUCCGGGAAGCCCGGGGGCAGCAGGACCCCUCUCUUGCCACUUCCUCCCAGCAUGUGAUGCUCUGAGGUAGACUGGCCCUGAUCUUGGAGGUUCCAUCUAGCUCUUAUGCCAGUUCUCCUCCUGCUCUUCCAGGAAUUUACGCGAUCCCCUUUCAUCAGAACCUAAGACAUGUCUUCUUGCUGGAUCAGGCCCAAGGAGGCCUAUCUAGUCCAGCAUCCUGUUUCACACAGUGGGCCAGCGGAUGCCUCUGGGGGGAGCCCACAGGCUUCCAAAGCCCUUUCAAACAGUGGCCAUCACCACAACUGGCAGCCAGCCAGUUCAAUGCUUUGUUGGAAGAACAACUUCUGUGUGUGAGAGAGAGAGAGAACGAGAAUGGGGCAGGGGGAGGAAAUUAGAAGCCGCACACAGCAGGUUGUGUGAUCUCGCAAGUGCAGAAAUUCAGUGUCUGGCAGCCUCGCUCUUCUAGCUCAUUAAGAAUCUCAGCAGUAGGGUAGAAAGUGCUCUAGCAACUCAGGAUGUCAGCAGGUGGUGAGCUUUUGGGCAGGUGCACCUCUCUCUCUCUGCUGUUGAUGUGAUGUUCCUGACAUCAGAAAAAAAAAGUGCUAACGGUCUUCCAAGACUGUACCACUUCAGGGGGCGGCCCCUCUCCCUGAAAACCGGACUCUUCCCUGCAUGUAGAAAACUAGAAUUUGCGGUGCCUUGCCCCGAAGUGGCGUCUUUCUACAUGCAGGGUGUGUGUCUGGUCUGGCGGAACAUUCAGACCUGUGGCCGCCCGGGAGCCCAGGUGGACUCUCGCACCACAGUAGCUUGGCUGUUCCUUGCCAGUUGGCCAGAAGGACUUGCCUGUGCCUGGUGUGUGGUGAGAAGCUCAGCUGUCUGGGCUGCAGGAAAAGCCCUGCUGCGUGACUUCCCCAGAUGUGCCCAGCCUGCCGGAUCAUGGCGUCUGCAGCUGCUGGCCACUCCGCCCUCCCUCCCUUGCUGCUCAGGGCGUGCAAACUGGGAUGAAACCCAUCCAGUGUGCGGAAACGCGGAUGCCUUCUGCCUCGAUUGCCCUUGGUACCCACUCCCCGCCCCCCUUCUCCCUCUCUGCUUCGGAGACCGGCACGGGGGAUUUAAAAGGCCCCCUUCCCUGCUAACUUUGCCUGCCUCUCCGUUUCCAGGCUGGUGGCUCGGCUGCUUAUCUUCCUUUAAAUUAAGGGAUUGCUCACAAAGCCAUCCCCACCGGCAACGAAACAUGGCAUGUAAGCUAAGCGGGACUUUAAAGUGGGUCAGAGUGUGUGUGUGUGUGUGUGUGUGUGUGUGUGUGUGUGUGUGUGUGUGUGUGUGUGUGUAAGCGGGACUUUAAAGUGGGUCAGAGUCUGUGUGUGUGUGUGUGUGUGUGUGUGGUGUGCUUCAGAUUUGAAUAUUCAGGAGCAGUGAUUGAUGGGGAGGUUAUUCUUGGCAGCCGUAACAGGAUGAACCUCCUGAUCGGGGUGGGGCUUUGUGAGAGUGGGGAGUGGGGGCAUAUGGGUCAGCAACUGGUGGCCCCUGAGUCGCAUCUGGCCCCUUGUGGGGGGCUCUCGUUGGCCCCCAGGCCACAUCUGGGCCCAGGUGCCUCCCACUUCGGGAUGCCCAAGGCGAGAGGAUUAUAUAGAAAGAGCCGCAGCUGUGGCACCCAUUGGCAGCCUGCUUUCUGUGAUGCUAGGGGGUGAGGGUGGGCCCUGAGUGUGGGUCACCUGCCGUCCCCAGGGGGGCAACCCCAGGGGAACGGAACGCUGCACUGUACCCCAUUCUGUGCAUGGUUGGUUCCUGCGCCCCACACAAUUGCAUCCAGGGGUCCCCAGCAAAGAUUUCUCAGGCCCCUCCCACCCAUGGGGCUUCCUUCUGCCGAGGCUUUUUGAGCUGCCUGCACGGAGCGUUUUCGGCCCCCUGCCCUCUCCGUGGCCCACCCUGACUGGCAGCGGCCCGCCAGGGUGUCAGGCUCAGAGGUCUUUCCCAGCCCUACCGGGAGGUGCUGCCAGGCACUGAAACUGGGGCCUUCCACUUGCCGAGCAGCGGCCCCACUGCCAUCCCCGGUGGUUGGGAAAGGCCUCUGCCGGAGAUCCCAGCAAACCCUCCUGGCCGGGAGGGGUUGGCGGUCCAGCUCAGUUCCCGACCUCCCUGCAAGCCCCUCUCUCCCACUCUGAACCAGUCAAGUGCUGUCACGUGGCCUCUGCGUAAGGAACCCCUGCUUGGUGCGUCUCUGCCCGUUGCCCGCCAGCCUGCUUUGGUUCAGAGCCCCUGUUGAAUGGCUGCCUGUGGUUGGAGUGAGGGGUGUGUGCUUGAGAGCCAACAGCCUGGCGAAUGCAGUGCUUGCCGCCCCCGCCCGAUUGCAUGUGGGGCCACAUUCCGCCCCCUGCUCCUCACCCUGGGAUGACACCUGUGCAAACGGAAAGGAUUUUUGCCAUAAAAGGAAAGUACCUGUCCUCUUAUGACAGCAGUAGCCAUUUAUAGGGGGGGAUAUCUCUUUAUUUCGUGUCCUGGUUCUCUUUUCCUUCGUCAGGUUCUCUUAAGUGUGGGUUUUGGCCCUACCAGCGAGGCUGCUGAAAACCUUUUCCAGCCCAGCCCUCUCUGAUUAUUGCCUUCGUUUAGAAAGGAGAGGGGAAAGCAUUAUUUUUUAUUGGCUCUGGCCAACCACUUACAUACCCAGAUGCCACUUGUGCAUCUCUUUUCUUUUUUAAUUUAUUCGAGAUGACUCUAAUUGUAAUUUUCAUUGCAGUAUCUUGUAUUUUUAUUUGCGAUUUCAAGAAAUGUGAAGAAAAAAUAGAGGUGGGGUGUGGGGUGGUGGUGUCAAAAGACAGUUUCCAACAGUGUUGCAUUCUUCAUUUUCUUUAGAGCUAACCACUCUAAAAUUUGUUUGGUAAAAGUCAAUUAGUGUAACUAAUUGUAACAUAUUCUUUUAAAUAAAUUGAUUUAUUGAUGAAAUA